UUCUUCAGAUGGUCUUGUACACAGAGUAUGAUAUAAACCUUUAGCUUAAAUGUCACACAGUCACCUGGAGGGUGGGCCGAACAUAUCCCAAAAAAGGGCCAGAAAGUUUUUUUCAAGGUGGCCUUCAGAUGCCAACACAAUACGAGUCUUUGCAAUGUAAAUGCGGCGGGCAGAAGAAACCAGAUUACAAACUGCUCUGCUAAAAUGACUGUGACACUCCUACUCACUCAAGUGAGCAGAGGCAGGCAGAGUCUAAGCAAGGACCCUUAUUUACCUACCUUCCCCACAAUUGUGUCAAUCUGCAGUGACCACAACCACAACAUCUAUGUGUCUGUCACUGAGCCACCGUGAUGGAGAUGACAAUAAAACAAU
This is a long non-coding RNA of Etheostoma cragini (Arkansas darter), 372 nucleotides long. RefSeq lists it as uncharacterized. NCBI's taxonomy places the organism in Eukaryota, Metazoa, Chordata, Actinopteri, Perciformes, Percidae. The record is from RefSeq and is a predicted model, not a curated record. The transcript is spliced from 3 exons.